CUCACAAUGAACUGAGACCCAGUUGUUCUAGGUCUGUAGAUGACAUAAAAGUGAUUUCUAGUCAUCAUGGCAUGGUAGGCAUUAGAAAGAAUCCCAGAACAUAUGCUUUCCCCAUGUUUAACAACAUCUGUCUCUUGACCCAUAGGCUUCCUUACUCCAAUCCGAAGCUCCCCAUUUUCUUCCCUUAAGAAUAUUAACACACUGCGUGUUGCUUUUGCUAGCUUUUUUGAACCAACAAACUCACCCCACCCAGUUGUGAGUGAGUAAGUGACGCUUAGGAUUACCCCUAUAAAUAUGUUGGAAAUGCCACUGUUUUCCAUGCAGAUCUUUUGCAACCAAUUGUUGACAAGGUGGCUCUUGCGACAUAUCC
Molecule: unclassified non-coding RNA, 370 nt
Filed under: Hevea brasiliensis (rubber tree)
Lineage: Eukaryota; Viridiplantae; Streptophyta; Magnoliopsida; Malpighiales; Euphorbiaceae
Source: RNAcentral